AAUCUCUGAGCUGUCCGAGGAUAAAGCUGUGUCACAGACUAAUCGGUUGGCAGAUAAAGUCCAUCUUACAAUUUGGAUAUAUCGAUGAAGUGUACUUUAAUUCUGAGAUUCCAGCUCCAUUGGAACAAGACACGUCUACCUCUACUAUGAAAGGUGUAGCUUUCGCUCACUUCGUCAGAAUCAAUUGCAGCGUCAUUACAGUCAAAGGCAUAAAUUAACAGUAGAGGAGCUAAGGAGCUCCACAAUUCUAAGUUUGUGGAUCAGAGAGAUAAGUACAUGCCUAUCCUGAAGGUUUCACCUGAAAUGGCUCUUCGUCAAGAAGAGGCUGGAGCUUGGCAUUAGGUAGAAUCAUGCCAGUUUGUCACUAGUGACGUCAUCUCACAGAAUGUCACUGCCCAAGGACCAGGAGGUGAUACCUCUGUUCAAUUCUGUGUAGAGAAGAUUGGUAAUGGUCAAGAAAACUGUGAUAAGUUCUUGGGGGAGGGGGUUUCAUAUUUAGAUUGCAGAAAUAUAUUCUGUUGUUUUUAACUUGACAUCUUUAACAAAAUAUGUGGAUUUAUAAUUCUAGUACCAUAUAAUUCAAGAUGAAACUAUCCUCAUGAUUCAACUAGUGGUAAUUUAGUGUGUAACAGAUAAACAUAUCAAGUCAUGAUUUCAGUUCAAUAAAAUUGUCAUGUAUUAAUUGUGUAGCAAUAGAAUUCAUUUAUCAUGACUUAGUAAUGAAUUCUUUCCACAAGAUAUUUUUAUGAGAUACUUUGGCUAUAUAUUUUUGUAAGUUGAUUUAAAAUUGUUAAAUUGAUUUUACUUGUGGUUUAUGCAAUGUAACUGUAUAAAUUGUAGAAUUCUUUGUUUAUUAUUAUUGUGAUGAAAUGCCACAUUGAUGUAGUUGUGUAAGAAGUGCUUUGAUUUAAGUGGCAUUUUAAAAUUUAUUGUCCCUUCGUGUUACAAGUCGCCGAGGGUAUAUAGGGAUCUGCCAAUACUUGCCAGUACGUAAGUACAGUAAGUAUGUACUUAAAGUACGUAAUUUAUUUGCUAGGACAUAAUUUCAAACUAUGCCUGAUAAUUUCAUCAAACUUCAUACACAUCAAGACCACAUCGAGGUGGAGUGCAGUGUGCAGGAACUGUACCCUUGCUUCCGUUAUUCCUCUUUGUGAAAAAAAGAUUUACCUACAAAAAAUGAUCUUACAUCAAGUUUUCCUACAGAGGAUAUUAAAAUGCAGCAUUCCAAGAACAAUAACUUUUUCUACGGUUUUUACACUUCGGCUUUCACACUUCAGAGUUAUUCGUCUUUGUGGAAAAGUUACUCACAUCAAGUUUUUCUACAGAGGAUAUGAAAACAGAGUACAGUAUUCAAAGUUGGGUGGGUAAGCUAUUGUAAAUUAUUUCUUAACAGACACUGAAAUGCAAAAUUUUCAUUUUUAGCUCGUCGCUUCGAAGAAGAGGGAGAGCUUAUGUUGUCACUCCGGUGUCAGCUUUGGCGUUGGUUUUUCAAAUGUAAAGUUUUUGUCGUUGAUAGGCAUAGUAAUUUAUGGUAAUAUGGUCCCUGUGAGGGCUAAACUAUUCCCUGCCGGAGUUAAACUAAAAGAUUUUUUUGGGAAAAAAACAGAUUCUUCAAAAAUUUGGAAUAUUUCUGCAUUAAGUUUUUGGUGCAAGUUUUGCUUUUAUUAACACAUCAUUUUAUAAAAUAGGGUGCUGAUAUUUGGCAAUAGAGUCCCUCUGGAGUAAGACUAUCCCUUUCUGGAGUUAAAAUAAAAAAUUGGAUUUUUUCUGAAAAAAAAAAACAAUGUGAAAAAUGCUCACAAACAUGCAAGACAACUGAUACUGUUCCACAAUUUUUCAAGGGAGACAACUCUCAUUAGGAUAAGUUUUAUCAAAAAUUAAAAUAAAUAAGUUUAUUAUUUAAUAUAUUUAUUCAAUUUACAACAGCAUGCAUAGCUUGUUUCCCGAAUGUUUGUCAAUAAACAAUUUACAUAUAUAUAUAUACAUAAAUUGUAUGAAUACAAAAUACACAAUCUGAUCAAGUAAACAAUAUAGAUAUUACUGAGAAACCAUACCAAUUAAUAUAUUUUAAUUAUAUAUUGACAAGCAUUCGAGAGACAAGCUGUGCUGUUCUCCAACAGCUCCUGUUAUAUCAGUUUUUGACAUUACUUGUACUCAGCACAAUAAUGACUUAUGUAGCAUUGAGUCCUGAUAAAUUGGUUGAUAAAUUGUUUGAUACAUAAUAGCACUUUCAUUGAUGUCACUUAAUAUAUGUUCACAUCUUUUCUUCCACACUAGGAGUUCAAAUACAAAUGCAGUUGAAUACCAAUUUGUUGUUAAUAAAACAGAUCACAUUCCACUUGUGUCAGCCUGUUCAAUUCAUAAUUCACGUUCAUUAAUUGUCAGAGUUUGCCAUGAGGGGAUUAGUAUUGUUCCGGGAUGCCUUGUUUUUACAUAAAAACAUUACACAUGUUCAUAUAUAUGUGAUGUUGGUGUGUUGGGUACAUUAUUUUUUAUACUUAUUGUUUAUAGAGUGAAUGAGUAGGUUGUUAUAUGUAUAUAGAUGUCUACUUAUGUAAAUGACAUUUUCCUUCAAAGUCAUAUUUAUUUGGAAAUGUGUAUGAAGAGCUUUGUAAAUGUGUGAGAUUUGAAUUAUUAAAUUUGUACUUUUUGGUUGCAAA
This is a long non-coding RNA of Pecten maximus, 2660 nucleotides long. RefSeq lists it as uncharacterized. The record is from RefSeq and is a predicted model, not a curated record. NCBI's taxonomy places the organism in Eukaryota, Metazoa, Mollusca, Bivalvia, Pectinida, Pectinidae. The transcript is spliced from 2 exons.